UCGGUACCUGAAGAAUAGCACCGGCUAACUACGUGCCAGCAGCCGCGGUAAUACGUAGGGUGCAAGCGUUAAUCGGAAUUACUGGGCGUAAAGCGUGCGCAGGCGGUUAUACAAGACAGGUGUGAAAUCCCCGGGCUUAACCUGGGAAUGGCAUCUGUGACUGUAUAGCUAGAGUGUGUCAGAGGGGGGUAGAAUUCCACGUGUAGCAGUGAAAUGCGUAGAGAUGUGGAGGAAUACCAAUGGCGAAGGCAGCCCCCUGGGAUAACACUGACGCUCAUGCACGAAAGCGUGGGGAGCAAACAGGAUUAGAUACCCUGGUAGUCCACGCCCUAAACGAUGCUGACUAGUUGUUCGGGAAUUACUUCCUGAGUAACGUAGCUAACGCGUGAAGUCAGCCGCCUGGGGAGUACGGUCGCAAGAUUAAAACUCAAAGGAAUUGACGGGGACCCGCACAAGCGGUGGAUGAUGUGGAUUAAUUCGAUGCAACGCGAAAAAACUUAACUACACUUGA
RNAcentral lists this ribosomal RNA (511 nucleotides) under uncultured bacterium. RNAcentral describes it as "bacterial SSU rRNA". It matches the Rfam family "Bacterial small subunit ribosomal RNA", at positions 472 to 984 of the family's 1533-position model. The record is from RNAcentral.